UGUUUUGUAAGUCAGAUGUGAAAGCCCCGGGCUUAACCUGGGAACUGCGUCUGAAACUACAAGGCUAGAGUAUGGCAGAGGGGGGUGGAAUUCCGCGUGUAGCAGUGAAAUGCGUAGAUAUGUGGAGGAACACCGAUGGCGAAGGCAGCCCCCUGGGUCAAUACUGACGCUGAGGGACGAAAGCAUGGGGAGCAAACAGGAUUAGAUACCCUGGUAGUCCAUGCCCUAAACGAUGUCAACUAGUUGUCGGGCCUUUACGGGCUUGGUAACGUAGCUAACGCGUGAAGUUGACCGCCUGGGGAGUACGAUCGCAAGAUUAAAACUCAAAUGAAUUGACGGGGACCCGCACAAGCGGUGGAUUAUGUGGAUUAAUUCGAUGCAACGCGAAAAACCUUACCUACCCUUGACAUGUAUCGAAACCCGCAGAAAAGCGGGGGUGCCCGAAAGGGAACGAUAACACAGGUGCUGCAUGGCUGUCGUCAGCUCGUGUCGUGAGAUGUUGGGUUAAGUCCCGCAACGAGCGCAACCCUUGUCAUUAAUUGCCAUCAUUUAGUUGGGCACUUUAAUGAGACUGCCGGUGACAAACCGGAGGAAGGUGGGGAUGACGUCAAGUCCUCAUGGCCCUUAUGGGUAGGGCUUCACGCGUAAUACAAUGGCGCGUACAGAGGGUUGCCAACCCGCGAGGGGGAGCUAAUCUCAGAAAGCGCGUCGUAGUCCGG
Molecule: ribosomal RNA, 719 nt
Filed under: uncultured bacterium
Lineage: Bacteria
Description: bacterial SSU rRNA
Rfam family: Bacterial small subunit ribosomal RNA
Source: RNAcentral